UACGGAGGGUGCAAGCGUUAUCCGGAUUUACUGGGUUUAAAGGGUGCGCAGGCGGAUAUGUAAGUCAGUGGUGAAAUCUCUGGGCUUAACCCGGAAAUUGCCAUUGAUACUAUAUAUCUUGAAUGCUGUGGAGGUAAGCGGAAUAUGUCAUGUAGCGGUGAAAUGCUUAGAGAUGACAUAGAACACCUAUUGCGAAGGCAGCUUACUACGCAGAGAUUGACGCUCAUGCACGAAAGCGUGGGGAGUCAAACAGGA
This 255-nucleotide ribosomal RNA is filed under the name uncultured bacterium. RNAcentral describes it as "partial 16S ribosomal RNA". It matches the Rfam family "Bacterial small subunit ribosomal RNA", at positions 524 to 777 of the family's 1533-position model. The record is from RNAcentral.